GAUGAACGCUGGCGGCGUGCCUAAUACAUGCAAGUCGAGCGAACGGACGAGAAGCUUGCUUCUCUGAUGUUAGCGGCGGACGGGUGAGUAACACGUGGAUAACCUACCUAUAAGACUGGGAUAACUUCGGGAAACCGGAGCUAAUACCGGAUGAUAUUUUGAACCGCAUGGUUCAAAAGUGAAAGACGGUCUUGCUGUCACUUAUAGAUGGAUCCGCGCUGCAUUAGCUAGUUGGUAAGGUAACGGCUUACCAAGGCAACGAUGCAUAGCCGACCUGAGAGGGUGAUCGGCCACACUGGAACUGAGACACGGUCCAGACUCCUACGGGAGGCAGCAGUAGGGAAUCCUCCGCGAUGGGCGAAAGCCUGACGGAGCAACGCCGCGUGAGUGAUGAAGGUCUUCGGAUCGUAAAACCCUGUUAUUAGGGAAGAACAUAUGUGUAAGUAACUGUGCACAUCUUGACGGUACCUAAUCAGAAAGCCACGGCUAACUACGUG
RNAcentral lists this ribosomal RNA (497 nucleotides) under uncultured bacterium. RNAcentral's name for it is "partial 16S ribosomal RNA". It matches the Rfam family "Bacterial small subunit ribosomal RNA", at positions 28 to 507 of the family's 1533-position model. The record is from RNAcentral.